RNAcentral lists this ribosomal RNA (253 nucleotides) under uncultured bacterium. RNAcentral describes it as "partial 16S ribosomal RNA". It matches the Rfam family "Bacterial small subunit ribosomal RNA", at positions 524 to 776 of the family's 1533-position model. The record is from RNAcentral.
UACAGAGGGUGCAAGCGUUAAUCGGAAUUACUGGGCGUAAAGCGUGCGUAGACGGUUAUGUAAGUCAGAUGUGAAAGCCCCGGGCUCAACCUGGGAAUUGCAUUUGAGACUGCAUAGCUAGGGUGCGGAAGAGGGGAGCGGAAUUUCCGGUGUAGCGGUGAAAUGCGUAGAUAUCGGAAGGAACACCAGUGGCGAAAGCGGCUUCCUGGUCCAGCACCGACGUUCAGGCACGAAAGCGUGGGGAGCAAACAGG